GGGGCUGAUCGGUUUCGACUUGGGACGUUAGUUCCAGGGGAAGCGGGUCGAGGAGCCAGCGUUAUCUCGUUAACGAUCGCUGGAAACCAAUAACUGCCAACGCUAAGCGCAGUUCCUUCGCUCUCGCCGCCUGACGCGGUGAUCGAAGCGUCAGUCAGGGCAUCCGUCUCCGUCCCUGGUCCUGGCGUCAUCCAGGAGACUCACCCUCCCUCCCUCGCUAGUGGGGUUCGAGGGGACAGCUAGCUAGCUGGGCCUGUCGGCGACGUGUCUGUGUCGAGCGCCGGGGCCGAGAAAACGACACCCACAGACUGCACCCGGAGAAGACCUGGAUCGACGCUCGAGGACCGGGGUUCGAUUCCCCGCAGCUCCACUC
Molecule: transfer-messenger RNA, 373 nt
Filed under: Nocardioidaceae
Lineage: Bacteria; Bacillati; Actinomycetota; Actinomycetes; Propionibacteriales
Description: Nocardioides terrae X1 Standard tmRNA
Rfam family: transfer-messenger RNA
About the family: Bacterial tmRNA, also known as 10Sa RNA or SsrA, is named for its dual tRNA and mRNA-like properties. Its role is to liberate the mRNA from a stalled ribosome. To accomplish this part of the tmRNA is used as a reading frame that ends in a translation stop signal.
Source: RNAcentral